GAGACCGCCAAGCUGUGCAACCUGGACCGCGACGUGACCCUGCCCGACGCUGACGCCAAGGACCUGACCAUGGACAUGCGCGACAGCGUUGUGGGCCAGGUGUACCGCAAGCUGAUGGAGAUUGAGUCCCGCCUGCUGCCCUGCGGCCUGCACGUGGUGGGCUGCCCGCCCACCGCCGAGGAGGCCGUGGCCACCCUGGUCAACAUCGCUGAGCUGGACCGCCCGGACAACAACCCCCCCAUCAAGGGCAUGCCCGGCAUCCUGGCCCGCGCCAUUGGUCGCGACAUCGAGUCGAUUUACAGCGGCAACAACAAGGGCGUCCUGGCUGACGUUGACCAGCUGCAGCGCAUCACCGAGGCCUCCCGCACCUGCGUGCGCGAGUUCGUGAAGGACCGCACCGGCCUGAACGGCCGCAUCGGCACCAACUGGAUCACCAACCUGCUCAAGUUCACCGGCUUCUACGUGGACCCCUGGGUGCGCGGCCUGCAGAACGGCGAGUUCGCCAGCGCCAACCGCGAGGAGCUGAUCACCCUGUUCAACUACCUGGAGUUCUGCCUGACCCAGGUGCGACCGGUGCCGCUGCGUGGCCAACAGCUUGGUGCCACCUUCCUGCGGUGUUGAUUUACACUGUGUGCGUGGAUGUGUUGGUUUUUCGCAACUUUAGUCUGGGCUCCAGCUCUUUGCCUUCAUUGAUCACUCGUCUUACCUCCUGCGCCAUCAUUUGAAUACAGGUGGUCAAGGACAACGAGCUGGGCGCCCUGGUAGAGGCGCUGAACGGCCAGUACGUCGAGCCCGGCCCCGGCGGUGACCCCAUCCGCAACCCCAACGUGCUGCCCACCGGCAAGAACAUCCACGCCCUGGACCCUCAGUCGAUUCCCACUCAGGCCGCGCUGAAGAGCGCCCGCCUGGUGGUGGACCGCCUGCUGGACCGCGAGCGCGACAACAACGGCGGCAAGUACCCCGAGACCAUCGCGCUGGUGCUGUGGGGCACUGACAACAUCAAGACCUACGGCGAGUCGCUGGCCCAGGUCAUGAUGAUGGUCGGUGUCAAGCCCGUGGCCGACGCCCUGGGCCGCGUGAACAAGCUGGAGGUGAUCCCUCUGGAGGAGCUGGGCCGCCCCCGCGUGGACGUGGUUGUCAACUGCUCGGGUGUGUUCCGCGACCUGUUCGUGAACCAGAUGCUGCUGCUGGACCGCGCCAUCAAGCUGGCGGCCGAGCAGGACGAGCCCGAUGAGAUGAACUUCGUGCGCAAGCACGCCAAGCAGCAGGCGGCGGAGCUGGGCCUGCAGAGCCUGCGCGACGCGGCC
RNAcentral lists this long non-coding RNA (1307 nucleotides) under Chlamydomonas reinhardtii. RNAcentral's name for it is "long non-coding RNA (CREI_LNC000604)". The record is from RNAcentral. Lineage: Eukaryota; Viridiplantae; Chlorophyta; Chlorophyceae; Chlamydomonadales; Chlamydomonadaceae.